RNAcentral lists this transfer RNA (76 nucleotides) under Rickettsiales bacterium. Its description in RNAcentral is "tRNA-Ala". It matches the Rfam family "tRNA". From Rfam's summary of the family: Transfer RNA (tRNA) molecules are approximately 80 nucleotides in length. Their secondary structure includes four short double-helical elements and three loops (D, anti-codon, and T loops). Further hydrogen bonds mediate the characteristic L-shaped molecular structure. tRNAs have two regions of fundamental functional importance: the anti-codon, which is responsible for specific mRNA codon recognition, and the 3' end, to which the tRNAs corresponding amino acid is attached (by aminoacyl-tRNA synthetases). tRNAs cope with the degeneracy of the genetic code in two manners: having more than one tRNA (with a specific anti-codon) for a particular amino acid; and 'wobble' base-pairing, i.e. permitting non-standard base-pairing at the 3rd anti-codon position. Lineage: Bacteria; Pseudomonadati; Pseudomonadota; Alphaproteobacteria; Rickettsiales. The record is from RNAcentral.
GGGGUUAUAGCUCAGUUGGUAGAGCGCUUGCAUGGCAUGCAAGAGGUCUCGGGUUCAACUCCCGAUAACUCCACCA